This 583-nucleotide ribosomal RNA is filed under the name Alternaria porri. RNAcentral's name for it is "eukaryotic LSU rRNA". The stretch from base 207 to 360 matches the Rfam family "5.8S ribosomal RNA". The record is from RNAcentral. Lineage: Eukaryota; Fungi; Ascomycota; Dothideomycetes; Pleosporales; Pleosporaceae.
GGAUAAAUUUCUCCGUAGGGGAACUUGCGGAGGGAUCAUUACACAAAUAUGAAGGCGGGCUGGAACCUCUCGGGGUUACAGCCUUGCUGAAUUAUUCACCCUUGUCUUUUGCGUACUUCUUGUUUCCUUGGUGGGUUCGCCCACCACUAGGACAAACAUAAACCUUUUGUAAUUGCAAUCAGCGUCAGUAACAAAUUAAUAAUUACAACUUUCAACAACGGAUCUCUUGGUUCUGGCAUCGAUGAAGAACGCAGCGAAAUGCGAUAAGUAGUGUGAAUUGCAGAAUUCAGUGAAUCAUCGAAUCUUUGAACGCACAUUGCGCCCUUUGGUAUUCCAAAGGGCAUGCCUGUUCGAGCGUCAUUUGUACCCUCAAGCUUUGCUUGGUGUUGGGCGUCUUGUCUCUAGCUUUGCUGGAGACUCGCCUUAAAGUAAUUGGCAGCCGGCCUACUGGUUUCGGAGCGCAACACAAGUCGCACUCUCUAUCAGCAAAGGUCUAGCAUCCAUUAAGCCUUUUUUUCAACUUUUGACCUCGGAUCAGGUAGGGAUACCCGCUGAACUUCACCAUAUCAAUAAGCGGAGGAAA